Molecule: transfer RNA, 74 nt
Filed under: compost metagenome
Description: tRNA-Phe
Source: RNAcentral
GUCGGCGGUGGCCAAGCGGGUGGGCGAACUUGAAGCGUUCGCCGGGUCGCCGCUGUUCGAGCGGCGCGCCAAGA